Molecule: small nuclear RNA, 107 nt
Filed under: Zalophus californianus (California sea lion)
Lineage: Eukaryota; Metazoa; Chordata; Mammalia; Carnivora; Otariidae
Source: RNAcentral
GUGCUCAUUUUAACAGUACAUACACUACAAUUGGAAUGAUACAGAGAAGAUUGGCAUGGCCCCAGCAUAAGGAUGACACAUAAAUUCAUGAAGUGUACCAUAUAAAA